ACCUGACGGAGUGAUUUCCAGGCUACGUCAAUCCCGGAAGGCGUCACGGUGAGUCGUUCUGGGGCUUAAAGGGAGGAGUUUCGUUCCUCCUGAAGAAGGAAGAACCAACCGGACUCAAACUUUUUCUUGGAGGUUUUCCAAAUCGGAGGUCAUGAUGUCAAGGCUUCUUCACCGCCUGCUGCAGUACCUGGCCCGGGUACUGGUAGUAGCCACAGGGUGCCAUUUGAUCUCUUCCAUCACCGCCAAUGACUAUAACCUCCAGUACUUCGGUGGGCACACGAGAAUUGGCAGUGCCUUCUCCGUUCGAGGGAAGGGUAUCAGCGCUGCCCAGUCCUUCAUGACCCAAACGCAGGAGAGGGAUUGUGAGUGUCGCCUGGCUUGUUGGGCGUAUGAGGGCUGCCGCUCCGCUUCGACAAAACCCUCUGGGGAGAAGUUCGAGUGUCGCCUGUCGCGCUUUUACACCCAGAACCUGACUCUCGAGGACGACCCUGAUUCUCUUUUCACAUAUU
Molecule: long non-coding RNA, 509 nt
Organism: Macrobrachium nipponense
Lineage: Eukaryota; Metazoa; Arthropoda; Malacostraca; Decapoda; Palaemonidae
Exons: 3
Source: RefSeq, a predicted model, not a curated record